CCUACGGGAGGCAGCAGUGAGGAAUAUUGGUCAAUGGGCGCUAGCCUGAACCAGCCAAGUAGCGUGAAGGAUGACUGCCCUAUGGGUUGUAAACUUCUUUUGUAUGGGAGUAAAGUGCAGUAUGUAUACUGCUUUGCAGAUACCUUAUGAAUAAGGAUCGGCCAACUCCGGGCCAGCAGCCGGGGUAAUACGGAGGAUCCGGGCGUUAUCCGGAUUUAUUGGGUUUAAAGGGAGCGUAGGCGGGUUGUUAAGUCAGUUGUGAAAGUUUGCGGCUCAACCGUAAAAUUGCAGUUGAUACUGGCAGCCUUGAGUACAGUAGAGGUAGGCGGAAUUCGUGGUGUAGCGGUGAAAUGCUUAGAUAUCACGAAGAACUCCGAUUGCGAAGGCAGACUGCUGGACUGUAACUGACGCUGAUGCUCGAAAGUGUGGGUAUCAAACAGGAUUAGAUACCCGGGUAGUC
This 460-nucleotide ribosomal RNA is filed under the name uncultured bacterium. RNAcentral's name for it is "partial 16S ribosomal RNA". It matches the Rfam family "Bacterial small subunit ribosomal RNA", at positions 338 to 795 of the family's 1533-position model. The record is from RNAcentral.